RNAcentral lists this small RNA (380 nucleotides) under Pan troglodytes (chimpanzee). RNAcentral describes it as "processed transcript". Lineage: Eukaryota; Metazoa; Chordata; Mammalia; Primates; Hominidae. The record is from RNAcentral.
GAAAAUGUGGAGGAGCCAAACCUGGAUGAGCUGCUGGUCCGAUUGGAGGAGGAGCAACAGAGGUGUGAGAGUCUAGCAGAGGUGAACACCCAGCUUCGACUGCACAUGGAAAAAGCUGACGUGGUGAAUAAAGCCCUUAGGGAAGAUGUGGAAAAACUGACAGUGGACUGGAGCCGGGCCCGGGAUGAGCUAAUGAGGAAGGAGAGCCAGUGGCAGAUGGAGCAGGAGUUCUUCAAGGGCUACCUGAAAGGGGAGCACGGUCGCCUUCUCAGUCUAUGGCGGGAGGUUGUGACGUUCCGACGCCACUUCCUGGAAAUGAAGUCAGCUACUGACAGUGGAGUCUGCUGUUUUCCUUGCUUGUACUCAGAGAUCUGAUGGAG